UCUCUUGAGAGCGGCGGACGGGUGAGUAAUGCCUAGGAAUCUGCCUGGUAGUGGGGGAUAACGUUCGGAAACGGACGCUAAUACCGCAAACGUCCUACGGGAGAAAGCAGGGGACCUUCGGGCCUUGCGCUAUCAGAUGAGCCUAGGUCGGAUUAGCUAGUUGGUGGGGUAAUGGCUCACCAAGGCGACGAUCCGUAACUGGUCUGAGAGGAUGAUCAGUCACACUGGAACUGAGACACGGUCCAGACUCCUACGGGAGGCAGCAGUGGGGAAUAUUGGACAAUGGGCGAAAGCCUGAUCCAGCCAUGCCGCGUGUGUGAAGAAGGUCUUCGGAUUGUAAAGCACUUUAAGUUGGGAGGAAGGGUUGUAGAUUAAUACUCUGCAAUUUUGACGUUACCGACAGAAUAAGCACCGGCUAACUCUGUGCCAGCAGCCGCGGUAAUACAGAGGGUGCAAGCGUUAAUCGGAAUUACUGGGCGUAAAGCGCGCGUAGGUGGUUUGUUAAGUUGGAUGUGAAAUCCCCGGGCUCAACCUGGGAACUGCAUUCAAAACUGACUGACUAGAGUAUGGUAGAGGGUGGCUGGAAUUUCCUGUGUAGCGGUGAAAUGCGUAGAUAUAGGAAGGAACACCAGUGGCGAAAGCUACCACCUGGACUAAUACUGACACUGAGGUGCGAAAGCGUGAUGAGCUGACAGGAUUAGAUACCCUGGUAGUCCACUACGUAAACGAUGUCAACUAGCCGUUGGAAGCCUUGAGCUUUUAAUGGCGCAGCUCACGCAUUAAGUUGACCCCCUGGGGAGUACCGCCGCAGAGUUAAAACUCGAAUGAAUUGACGGGGGACCGCGCAGAC
RNAcentral lists this ribosomal RNA (850 nucleotides) under bacterium. Its description in RNAcentral is "bacterial SSU rRNA". It matches the Rfam family "Bacterial small subunit ribosomal RNA", at positions 85 to 930 of the family's 1533-position model. The record is from RNAcentral.